UACACAUGCAGUCGAGCGGUAAGGCCUUUCGGGGUACACGAGCGGCGAACGGGUGAGUAACACGUGGGUGAUCUGCCCUGCACUUCGGGAUAAGCCUGGGAAACUGGGUCUAAUACCGGAUAUGACCUCCUAUCGCAUGGUGGGUGGUGGAAAGAUUUAUCGGUGCAGGAUGGGCCCGCGGCCUAUCAGCUUGUUGGUGGGGUAAUGGCCUACCAAGGCGACGACGGGUAGCCGACCUGAGAGGGUGACCGGCCACACUGGGACUGAGACACGGCCCAGACUCCUACGGGAGGCAGCAGUGGGGAAUAUUGCACAAUGGGCGAAAGCCUGAUGCAGCGACGCCGCGUGAGGGAUGACGGCCUUCGGGUUGUAAACCUCUUUCAGCAGGGACGAAGCGCAAGUGACGGUACCUGCAGAAGAAGCACCGGCUAACUACGUGCCAGCAGCCGCGGUAAUACGUAGGGUGCAAGCGUUGUCCGGAAUUACUGGGCGUAAAGAGUUCGUAGGCGGUUUGUCGCGUCGUUUGUGAAAACCAGCAGCUCAACUGCUGGCUUGCAGGCGAUACGGGCAGACUUGAGUACUGCAGGGGAGACUGGAAUUCCUGGUGUAGCGGUGAAAUGCGCAGAUAUCAGGAGGAACACCGGUGGCGAAGGCGGGUCUCUGGGCAGUAACUGACGCUGAGGAACGAAAGCGUGGGUAGCGAACAGGAUUAGAUACCCUGGUAGUCCACGCCGUAAACGGUGGGCGCUAGGUGUGGGUUCCUUCCACGGAAUCCGUGCCGUAGCUAACGCAUUAAGCGCCCGCCUGGGGAGUACGGCCGCAAGGCUAAACUCAAGGAAUUGACGGGGCCCGCACAAGCGGCGGAGCAUGUGGAUUAUUCGAUGCACGCGAAGAACCUUACCUGGGUUUGACAUAUACCGGAAGCUGCAGAGAUGUG
This 937-nucleotide ribosomal RNA is filed under the name Rhodococcus sp. AMF3537. RNAcentral describes it as "bacterial SSU rRNA". It matches the Rfam family "Bacterial small subunit ribosomal RNA", at positions 50 to 1010 of the family's 1533-position model. The record is from RNAcentral. Lineage: Bacteria; Bacillati; Actinomycetota; Actinomycetes; Mycobacteriales; Nocardiaceae.